This 396-nucleotide unclassified non-coding RNA is filed under the name Myrtella beccarii. RNAcentral describes it as "partial external transcribed spacer". The record is from RNAcentral. Lineage: Eukaryota; Viridiplantae; Streptophyta; Magnoliopsida; Myrtales; Myrtaceae.
CCUCACUUUCGACCAGUUUUGUGCCCCAUGAGCUUUAUGUGGAUGCAAAUAGCGGGUUCCUGUGUUGCAUACCGAUCGCGAAGGAAAUUUGUCCCUUUUGCUGCCCCUUUCAACGCGACAUCCUGUGUGGGUGCUCGGUUGGACUAGAUGGUGGGUCUCGUGUUCCUCGGGCAUCACAUUUUGUUGUUCUGAUGGACCAUGGGUGCUUACUCGUUCUCUCGGAUGCGGAACAUUGUUGAUGGGUGCAAGCGGUCAGCGGCCCUUGCUCCAAACAAUUCAAGCGUGAUUAUCGCUGUUGCUAGAAUGACGCUCUCGCCUCGUCUUUGACCACACGGAGCUCUCGGGCUUCGCGUGGAUCAUGCUUGGGGGACGUCGUCAAGGAAUGCUACCUGGUUG